GUGAAAUUGUUGAAAGGGAAGCGCUUGCAACCAGACCUGCCUGCAGUUGCUCAUCCGUGGCUUUUGCCCGGUGCACUCUUCUGCUGUCAGGCCAGCAUCAGUUCGGGCGGUCGGAUAAAGGCUUCGGGAAUGUAGCUCCUCUCGGGGAGUGUUAUAGCCCGUUGCGAAAUGCGGCCAGCCUGGACUGAGGUCCGCGCUUCGGCUAGGAUGCUGGCGUAAUGGUUGUAAGCGGCCCGUCUUGAAACACGGACCAAGGAGUCUAACAUCUGUGCGAGUGUUUGGGUGUUAAACCCGUACGCGUAAUGAAAGUGAACGGAGGCGGGAACCCCUCGGGGUGCACCGUCGACCGAUCCUGAUGUCUUCGGAUGGAUUUGAGUAAGAGCAUAGCUGUUGGGACCCGAAAGAUGGUGAACUAUGCCUGAAUAGGGUGAAGCCAGAGGAAACUCUGGUGGAGGCUCGCAGCGGUUCUGACGUGCAAAUCGAUCGUCAAAUUUGGGCAUAGGGGCGAAAGACUAAUCGAACUAUCUAGUAGCUGGUUCCUGCCGAAGUUUCCCUCAGGAUAGCAGUAACGUUUUCAGUUUUAUGAGGUAAAGCGAAUGAUUAGAGGCCUGGGGGUUGAAACAACCUUCACCUAUUCUCAAACUUUAAAUAUGUAAGAAGUCCUUGUUGCUCAGUUGAACGUGGACAUUUGAAUGUAUCGUUACUAGUGGGCCAUUUUUGGUAAGCAGAACUGGCGAUGCGGGAUGAACCGAACGCGGAGUUAAGGUGCCGGAAUGCACGCUCAUCAGACA
RNAcentral lists this ribosomal RNA (791 nucleotides) under uncultured Ascomycota. RNAcentral describes it as "LSU rRNA". It matches the Rfam family "Eukaryotic large subunit ribosomal RNA", at positions 399 to 1211 of the family's 3401-position model. Lineage: Eukaryota; Fungi; Ascomycota. The record is from RNAcentral.